GACAACAACAACACAGCCAUGCAACCCUGAACAUCUGAUCUGGUAAGCUAAGUAGGGUGGAGCCUGGUUGUACUUGGAUGGGAGACCACCUGGGAAUACCUCCUGCUGUAGGCU
Molecule: ribosomal RNA, 114 nt
Organism: Loxodonta africana (African savanna elephant)
Lineage: Eukaryota; Metazoa; Chordata; Mammalia; Proboscidea; Elephantidae
Source: Ensembl